RNAcentral lists this non-coding RNA (46 nucleotides) under Trichobilharzia regenti. Lineage: Eukaryota; Metazoa; Platyhelminthes; Trematoda; Strigeidida; Schistosomatidae. The record is from RNAcentral.
GUACUGAUGAAGAGUCCCAAACUAGGACGAAACAGAUAUCCAGUAC